ACUCAAAUGAAUUGACGGGGGCCCGCACAAGCGGCGGAGCAUGUGGCUUAAUUCGAAGCAACGCGAAGAACCUUACCUGGGUUGAACUACGCCGGAAAAGCCGUAGAGAUACGGUGUCCUUCGGGGCCGGCGAUAGGUGGUGCAUGGCUGUCGUCAGCUCGUGUCGUGAGAUGUUGGGUUAAGUCCCGCAACGAGCGCAACCCUCGUCCCAUGUUGCCAGCGGGUUAUGCCGGGCACUCGUGGGAGACUGCCGGGGUCAACUCGGAGGAAGGUGGGGAUGACGUCAAGUCAUCAUGCCCCUUAUGCCCAGGGCUGCACACAUGCUACAAUGGCCGGUACAACGGGCUGCAACCUCGCGAGAGGAAGCCAAUCCCUGAAAGCCGGUCUCAGUUCGGAUUGUAGUCUGCAACUCGACUGCAUGAAGUCGGAGUCGCUAGUAAUCCCGGAUCAGCAACGCCGGGGUGAAUACGUUCCCGGGCCUUGUACACACCGCCCGU
RNAcentral lists this ribosomal RNA (497 nucleotides) under uncultured bacterium. Its description in RNAcentral is "partial 16S ribosomal RNA". It matches the Rfam family "Bacterial small subunit ribosomal RNA", at positions 899 to 1397 of the family's 1533-position model. The record is from RNAcentral.